GAGAGCGUAGCUUAAAAUGAGAGUGCUAUAUUUUUGCUAUAGAGGUGCAAAUGCCGUUCUUU
This 62-nucleotide transfer RNA is filed under the name Doliolum nationalis. Its description in RNAcentral is "tRNA-Lys". The record is from RNAcentral. Lineage: Eukaryota; Metazoa; Chordata; Thaliacea; Doliolida; Doliolidae.